Molecule: ribosomal RNA, 483 nt
Filed under: uncultured Glomeromycotina
Lineage: Eukaryota; Fungi; Glomeromycota
Description: SSU rRNA
Rfam family: Eukaryotic small subunit ribosomal RNA
Source: RNAcentral
UGGUGCCAGCAGCCGCGGUAAUUCCAGCUCAAUAGCGUAUAUUAAAGUUGUUGCCGUUAAAAAGCUCGUAGUUGAACCUUGGACCUGGCUGAUCUGUCCUCCUAAUCGAGCGCACGGAUUCGGUCGGGUCUUUCCUUCUGGGGAGCCCUAUGCCCUUCACUGGGUGUAGUGGGGAACCAGGACUUUUACCUUGAAAAAAUUAGAGUGUUCAAAGCAGGCCUUUGCUCGAAUACAUUAGCAUGGAAUAAUAGAAUAGGACAUCGGUUCUAUUCUGUUGGUUUCUAGGACCGCUGUAAUGAUUAAUAGGGAUAGUCGGGGGCGUCAGUAUUCAAUUGUCAGAGGUGAAAUUCUUGGAUUUAUUGAAGACUAACUACUGCGAAAGCAUUCGCCAAGGAUGUUUUCAUUAAUCAGGAACGAAAGUUAGGGGAUCGAAGACGAUCAGAUACCGUCGUAGUCUUAACCAUAAACUAUGCCGACUAGGAU